GAUGAACGCUAGCGACAGGCUUAACACAUGCAAGUCGAGGGGCAGCACAGGUAGCAAUACCGGGUGGCGACCGGCGCACGGGUGAGUAACACGUAUCCAACCUUCCGGUUACUCGGGGAUAGCCUUUCGAAAGAAAGAUUAAUACCCGAUAGUAUAAAUUUUUCCGCAUGGUUUGUUUAUUAAAGAUUCAUCGGUAACCGAUGGGGAUGCGUUCCAUUAGAUAGUAGGCGGGGUAACGGCCCACCUAGUCGACGAUGGAUAGGGGUUCUGAGAGGAAGGUCCCCCACAUUGGAACUGAGACACGGUCCAAACUCCUACGGGAGGCAGCAGUGAGGAAUAUUGGUCAAUGGGCGAGAGCCUGAACCAGCCAAGUAGCGUGAAGGAUGACUGCCCUAAUGGGUUGUAAAACUUCUUUUAAUACGGGAAUAAACACGCGGCACGUGUGCCGCUCUGCAUGUACCGUAUGAAUAAGCAUCGGCU
Molecule: ribosomal RNA, 480 nt
Filed under: uncultured bacterium
Lineage: Bacteria
Description: bacterial SSU rRNA
Rfam family: Bacterial small subunit ribosomal RNA
Source: RNAcentral